UCCGGUUUGACACCGGCAGUCUCCUAUGAGUCCCCGACAUGACUCGCUGGCAACAUAGGAUAGGGGUUGCGCUCGUUGCGGGACUUAACCCAACACCUCACGGCACGAGCUGACGACAACCAUGCACCACCUGUAUAGGGCCCCGAAGGACACUACAUCUCUGCAGCUUUUCCCUAUAUUUCAAGCCCUGGUAAGGUGGGGAUGAGUAGCUAAGCCUUC
RNAcentral lists this unclassified non-coding RNA (219 nucleotides) under uncultured Euzebyaceae bacterium. RNAcentral describes it as "contains 16S-23S intergenic spacer region". Lineage: Bacteria; Bacillati; Actinomycetota; Nitriliruptoria; Euzebyales; Euzebyaceae. The record is from RNAcentral.